UUUCCAAGCAUAUAAAACCUUUUUUAACUUUAAUCAACAGUAUAAUUAAUAAUUUGAUAAGUAAUGCAAUAAAACAAAACGAACAAGAUGAAUGUUUCGUUAUUUCACAUUUCACUAAUUGCUGUAAUUGUGGUGUUAAAUAUUUUGUCAUGCAGCGCACAAAAUAAUCCUGAUUUUGUGUGCGAUUUUGUCUGCAUUGAAGAAUGUCCACAAAUUCCAGCAACUUGUACUAGUAAUGGAGGACAAAUCAAACGUUUAGGGGUGUGUGCAUGUUGCGACACUUGUGUAUAUACUGCUGAAAAAUAUAACUUUUGUGGUUAUCGAGGCCAGAUUUACUACGAAUGUGAUUGUAACUUGACAUGUGAACAUUCGAUUUGUUUCCCGGACAAGAAAAGUGAUGAAAAUUAAACAAUACGGCAUGUGAAAAAAGUAAAUAAUAACAAAUACGUUUCCACUGUUCCAAAAAUAAAUUACACUUAACUGUAUCCUUAAAAUAGACACAAAAAUUCUUUCAAAAAAUGUUGCCAACUCAAAAAAAAUAACUAAAAUUAAUUUAGUUUUAAAAUAAUUAAAUAAUACAUAUAUUUGAAUAGUACUACA
This is a long non-coding RNA of Dalotia coriaria, 600 nucleotides long. RefSeq lists it as uncharacterized. The transcript has 2 exons. The record is from RefSeq and is a predicted model, not a curated record. NCBI's taxonomy places the organism in Eukaryota, Metazoa, Arthropoda, Insecta, Coleoptera, Staphylinidae.